RNAcentral lists this ribosomal RNA (253 nucleotides) under uncultured bacterium. RNAcentral describes it as "partial 16S ribosomal RNA". It matches the Rfam family "Bacterial small subunit ribosomal RNA", at positions 524 to 776 of the family's 1533-position model. The record is from RNAcentral.
UACGGAGGGUGCGAGCGUUGUCCGGAAUCAUUGGGCGUAAAGGGUGCGUAGGCGGAAUGAUAAGUCAGUGGUGAAAUCCUUCAGCUUAACUGGAGAACUGCCAUUGAUACUGUCAAUCUUGAGUACAUUUGAUGUGGGCGGAAUGUGUCAUGUAGCGGUGAAAUGCUUAGAUAUGACACAGAACACCGAUUGCGAAGGCAGCUCACAAAACUGUAACUGACGCUGAGGCACGAAAGCGUGGGUAUCAAACAGG